This 1006-nucleotide ribosomal RNA is filed under the name uncultured marine bacterium. Its description in RNAcentral is "bacterial SSU rRNA". It matches the Rfam family "Bacterial small subunit ribosomal RNA", at positions 66 to 1066 of the family's 1533-position model. The record is from RNAcentral.
GGGCAGCAUAAAGUACUUGUACUUUGAUGGCGACCGGCGAACGGGUGCGUAACGCGUAUGCAACUUACCUUUUACUAGAGAAUAGCCAAGAGAAAUUUUGAUUAAUGCUCUAUACUCUUUUUAACUCACAUGAGUUUUUAAGAAAAGCUCCGGCGGUAAAAGAUGGGCAUGCGUCCUAUUAGCUUGUAGGUGAGGUAACGGCUCACCUAAGCUCCGAUAGGUAGGGGUCCUGAGAGGGAGAUCCCCCACACUGGUACUGAGACACGGACCAGACUUCUACGGAAGGCAGCAGUAAGGAAUAUUGGACAAUGGAGGAAACUCUGAUCCAGCGAUGCCGCGUGAAGGAAGACGGCCCUAUGGGUUGUAAACUUCUUUUAUACAGGAAGAAACCUUUCCACGUGUGGAAAGCUGACGGUACUGUAAGAAUAAGGAUCGGCUAACUCCGUGCCAGCAGCCGCGGUAAUAUGGAGGAUCCAAGCGUUAUCCGGAAUUAUUGGGUUUAAAGGGUCCGCAGGCUGUUUGUUAAGUCAGGGGUGAAAUCCUACCGCUCAACGGUAGAACUGCCUUUGAUACUGGCAAACUUGAGUUAUUGUGAAGUAGUUAGAAUGUGUAGUGUAGCGGUGAAAUGCAUAGAUAUUACACAGAAUACCAAUUGCGAAGGCAGAUUACUAACAAUUAACUGACGCUGAGGGACGAAAGCGUGGGUAGCGAACAGGAUUAGAUACCCUGGUAGUCCACGCCGUAAACGAUGGUCACUAGCUGUUCGAUGUACAUUGGUACAUUGAGUGGCUAAGCGAAAGUGAUAAGUGACCCACCUGGGGAGUACGCUCGCAAGAGUGAAGCUCAAAGGAAUUGACGGGGGCCCGCACAAGCGGUGGAGCAUGUGGUUUAAUUCGAUGAUACGCGAGGAACCUUACCAGGACUUAAAUGUAAGUUGCAUGAUUCAGAAAUGGAUCUUUCUUCGGACUACUUACAAGGUGCUGCAUGGUUGUCGUCAGCCCGUGCC